This 62-nucleotide transfer RNA is filed under the name Onomaus tenuis. RNAcentral describes it as "tRNA-His". Lineage: Eukaryota; Metazoa; Arthropoda; Insecta; Hemiptera; Miridae. The record is from RNAcentral.
GUUUAGGUAGUUUAAUUAAGAAUAAUAAUUUGUGAUGUUAUAGGUAUAAUUUAUUCUAAAUC